Molecule: ribosomal RNA, 384 nt
Filed under: uncultured bacterium
Lineage: Bacteria
Description: bacterial SSU rRNA
Rfam family: Bacterial small subunit ribosomal RNA
Source: RNAcentral
UUGUAAAGCACUUUCAGUUGUGAGGAAGGUGGUGUCGUUAAUAGCGGCAUCAUUUGACGUUAGCAACAGAAGAAGCACCGGCUAACUCCGUGCCAGCAGCCGCGGUAAUACGGAGGGUGCGAGCGUUAAUCGGAAUUACUGGGCGUAAAGCGCAUGCAGGUGGUUUGUUAAGUCAGAUGUGAAAGACCCGGGGCGUCAACCUCGGAAACUGCAUUUGAAACUGGCAGACUAGAGUACUGUAGAGGGGGGUAGGAAUUUCAGGUGUAGCGGUGAAAUAGCGUAGAGAUCUGAAGGAAUACCGGUGGCGAAGGCGGCCCCCUCGGACAGAUACUGACACUCAGAUGCGAAAGCGUGGGGAGCAAACAGGAUUAGAUACCCUGGUAG